This 759-nucleotide long non-coding RNA is filed under the name Heterocephalus glaber (naked mole-rat). RNAcentral describes it as "lncRNA (ENSHGLG00100041350.1)". Lineage: Eukaryota; Metazoa; Chordata; Mammalia; Rodentia; Bathyergidae. The record is from RNAcentral.
AGGACAGCUCUGCACUUUGUGAGGGGAACUAUAGGGUCUUUGCUCAGCUACUGGUAAUGUGGAAUUUUGUUUUUCUUUUUGUUUAUUGUUCUUCCUCUUAUAUGAGUCUUAUGGAGCUGGAUUGUCACUUCAAAUGACUAAUGUCUUCUAGUUACACCAAUUAUCACUAAUGUAUGACAAAGGAGAAAGGAAAACCAAAGGGAAAAGAAUACAUUUUUCAAAGUGUGUGACUGAGGAAACUACUCUACAACAAAAUCUACUGUUGGCUUACAUUAACCUUACAUUAAACACUCCAAUGUAAAGAGGAACCAUCCGCAUGAGACUUCACAGCCAAAACCCUGCAAGCUCCCUGAAGGCUUCUCCUGAAAUGGCAAAUGCUUGAUUCAAGAUAUCUUCAGGGAUGCACUGUGAGUGGUCAAUCAACCGAAUGCUAUCAAACAUCAAACCACCUCUUACUUGCUGCAGCCAAACACCAAACCUAGAAUCUGGGUUCAUGAUGUGUGCAUUGAGAUGCAGUUGGGAAUCCACUUCCCUUCCUGUGACACUGCAGUUGAUCCCAGGAAGGGGAAUUGUGAAUUGUCUUUGACAACAUCUGUAAGUUCUGUCGCAAGUGGAUGACAGCCCCUCCCCUAUUCCUUCUGUCCCUCUUUCUGGGACUAAUAGCUAUUUUCCUAUGGCUAUGCUUGUUGUAUAUGUGACUAUUCAGAAGUUUCUAAGCUGAGUCUCAGUAUAAGUCCAUCAGUAAAAUGCUUUAAGUGC